Molecule: ribosomal RNA, 166 nt
Filed under: uncultured bacterium
Lineage: Bacteria
Description: partial 16S rRNA
Rfam family: Bacterial small subunit ribosomal RNA
Source: RNAcentral
UAGGGAAUCUUCGGCAAUGGGGGGCAACCCUGACCGAGCAACGCCGCGUGAGUGAAGAAGGUUUUCGGAUCGUAAAGCUCUGUUGUAAGAGAGGAACGUGUGUGAGAGUGGAAAGUUCACACAGUGACGGUAACUUACCAGAAAGGGACGGCUAACUACGUGCCAG